UGAGUUUUGAUCCUGGCUCAGAACGAACGCUGGCGGCAGGCUUAACACAUGCAAGUCGAACGCCCCGCAAGGGGAGUGGCAGACGGGUGAGUAACGCGUGGGAAUCUACCGUGCCCUGCGGAAUAGCUCCGGGAAACUGGAAUUAAUACCGCAUACGCCCUACGGGGGAAAGAUUUAUCGGGGUAUGAUGAGCCCGCGUUGGAUUAGCUAGUUGGUGGGGUAAAGGCCUACCAAGGCGACGAUCCAUAGCUGGUCUGAGAGGAUGAUCAGCCACAUUGGGACUGAGACACGGCCCAAACUCCUACGGGAGGCAGCAGUGGGGAAUAUUGGACAAUGGGCGCAAGCCUGAUCCAGCCAUGCCGCGUGAGUGAUGAAGGCCUUAGGGUUGUAAAGCUCUUUCACCGGAGAAGAUAAUGACGGUAUCCGGAGAAGAAGCCCCGGCUAACUUCGUGCCAGCAGCCGCGGUAAUACGAAGGGGGCUAGCGUUGUUCGGAAUUACUGGGCGUAAAGCGCACGUAGGCGGAUAUUUAAGUCAGGGGUGAAAUCCCAGAGCUCAACUCUGGAACUGCCUUUGAUACUGGGUAUCUUGAGUAUGGAAGAGGUAAGUGGAAUUCCGAGUGUAGAGGUGAAAUUCGUAGAUAUUCGGAGGAACACCAGUGGCGAAGGCGGCUUACUGGUCCAUUACUGACGCUGAGGUGCGAAAGCGUG
This 708-nucleotide ribosomal RNA is filed under the name Agrobacterium sp. MS189b. Its description in RNAcentral is "bacterial SSU rRNA". It matches the Rfam family "Bacterial small subunit ribosomal RNA", at positions 1 to 763 of the family's 1533-position model. Lineage: Bacteria; Pseudomonadati; Pseudomonadota; Alphaproteobacteria; Hyphomicrobiales; Rhizobiaceae. The record is from RNAcentral.